CUGGCUCAGGACGAACGCUGGCGGCACGCUUAACACAUGCAAGUCGAACGGUGAAAGUACUUCGGUACUGGAUCAGUGGCGGACGGGUGAGUAACACGUGAGCAAUCUGCCUUUAAGAGGGGAAUAACGACUGGAAACGGUC
RNAcentral lists this ribosomal RNA (142 nucleotides) under Ruminococcus sp. YE78. Its description in RNAcentral is "16S rRNA. Bacterial SSU". It matches the Rfam family "Bacterial small subunit ribosomal RNA", at positions 19 to 161 of the family's 1533-position model. Lineage: Bacteria; Bacillati; Bacillota; Clostridia; Eubacteriales; Oscillospiraceae. The record is from RNAcentral.